Molecule: ribosomal RNA, 483 nt
Filed under: uncultured bacterium
Lineage: Bacteria
Description: partial 16S ribosomal RNA
Rfam family: Bacterial small subunit ribosomal RNA
Source: RNAcentral
UUGAACGCUGGCGGCAGGCCUAACACAUGCAAGUCGCGCGGAUGAAGGGAGCUUGCUCCUGGAUUCAGCGGCGGACGGGUGAGUAAUGCCUAGGAAUCUGCCUGGUAGUGGGGGAUAACGUCCGGAAACGGGCGCUAAUACCGCAUACGUCCUGAGGGAGAAAGUGGGGGAUCUUCGGACCUCACGCUAUCAGACGAGCCUAGGUCGGAUUAGCUAGUUGGUGGGGUAAAGGCCUACCAAGGCGACGAUCCGUAACUGGUCUGAGAGGAUGAUCAGUCACACUGGAACUGAGACACGGUCCAGACUCCUACGGGAGGCAGCAGUGGGGAAUAUUGGACAAUGGGCGAAAGCCUGAUCCAGCCAUGCCGCGUGUGUGAAGAAGGUCUUCGGAUUGUAAAGCACUUUAAGUUGGGAGGAAGGGCAGUAAGUUAAUACCUUGCUGUUUUGACGUUACCAACAGAAUAAGCACCGGCUAACUUCGUG